Molecule: ribosomal RNA, 315 nt
Filed under: Cryptosporidium sp. possum genotype
Lineage: Eukaryota; Apicomplexa; Conoidasida; Eucoccidiorida; Cryptosporidiidae
Description: partial 18S ribosomal RNA
Rfam family: Eukaryotic small subunit ribosomal RNA
Source: RNAcentral
AGUGACAAGAAAUAACAAUACAGGACUUUUUUGGUUUUGUAAUUGGAAUGAGUUAAGUAUAAACCCCUUUACAAGUAUCAAUUGGAGGGCAAGUCUGGUGCCAGCAGCCGCGGUAAUUCCAGCUCCAAUAGCGUAUAUUAAAGUUGUUGCAGUUAAAAAGCUCGUAGUUGGAUUUCUGUUAAAUUGUUUAUAUACAAUAUUUUAAAAAUAUUUAUAUAACGUUAACAUAAUUCACAUUACUUCUUUUUUUUUUUUUAAAUAAAAGAAAAAAGUAUGUGAAAUUUUACUUUGAGAAAAUUAGAGUGCUUAAAGAGG